Molecule: unclassified non-coding RNA, 213 nt
Filed under: plant metagenome
Description: partial contains small subunit ribosomal RNA, internal transcribed spacer 1, and 5.8S ribosomal RNA
Source: RNAcentral
UUUCCGUAGGUGAACCUGCGGAAGGAUCAUUCAUAAUAAGUGUUCUAUGGCACUUUUUUAAAUCCAUAUCCACCUUGUGUGCAAUGUCAGGGUUGAUUUUUCUCUCGAGAGGAUCAACCCCAAACAUCAACUAUAUCUCAACUCUUUGUCUGAAAAAUAUUAUGAAUAAAACAAUUCAUAAUACAACUUUCAACAACGGAUCUCUUGGCUCUC